GCCGUGGACGGAAGAGAAGGGCGCGAUAGGGGCGUGGGAGUGGUGCGGGCGGCCUUGCCGCGGUUCCUUCCCGGCUCGGGAGCGCACCGCCGCAAGCCCCAGCGCGCUCUCGCCCCUGCCCCGCACCCCCGAGCGGCCCCGGGCCCUGGGCUCCGCUCCACCCCUUCGCCCGCUGCCCGCGCCCUUCUGCGGGACCCUCGGGGCGCCUCCCCUGUGGUCCGCGUCCUUCCGACCUCCGCUCCAUCCCGUCAGGUUCUCCCUGAGCGGAUCAGCGCCGGCGGCAGGGAGAGUGAGGGGCUUCAGUGACGCCCCGCUUCCGGGGUCUGUUUGGGUUUAGAGCGCUGUAGAAUCCAAAAGAUCGGAGAGACCGCAGGGGAAAAGGGCUUCCUGGGUUUUCGGUUAGGCUGGCUCAGCUUGACCUUACGCUGGCCGGAGUGGCUGAGCGCCAGAACGACGGAAGGGCGCGAGCUUCACGCAUUUUGCUAAGGGUUUGGGUUGGUCUUCAGAAACGGGGGGCGUGGCGGGGCGAGGGUACACAAGCCAGACAAAGCCGUGCACAAAUUAUCCUUGAAAGAAGACGGAGCCGUGUGAAUCCUGCCGGAACAGAUGACGCAAACUGUUUACAGGACGGAGCUGCCAGUCUUACCGACAUUAGAGCAAGAAGCUAUACCUGGCGGGUGGAGUACGGGGGGAUCGUUUUUCAGUCUCACUUUAAGGGAACUUUCAGAGACACGUGCACAGGGUUCUGUAAACCCCUCGUGCAGGCCACCCGAAGGCGCCCGUCGUGGGGCAAACCCGGCCCAAGGCACUGUUCCCUUCCCCGCCUGCGCCUUGCGCGUGCUGCUUCAGUGCCGGACCCAGCAGCCCGCGGGACUCCCCACCGGCUUCAGCCAGGGACACUGGCUUGCAUAUCUGCUUACCGAGUCAAAAGCCUUAAACCUCUGACUGGCGUGGACAAUGAAGCUUCUGUCAAAUUUAUACUAGAGAACAAAAGGCACAGAAGGAAAAGAUGAAAAAUUAGAACAGUAAGUAACUGAGAAACUGGCACAGCUCUCUGUCCCCAUUGUUUUUAUGGACAUGGGUAUAAUGG
This 1090-nucleotide long non-coding RNA is filed under the name Chinchilla lanigera (long-tailed chinchilla). RNAcentral's name for it is "lncRNA (ENSCLAG00000026793.1)". Lineage: Eukaryota; Metazoa; Chordata; Mammalia; Rodentia; Chinchillidae. The record is from RNAcentral.